UACGAAGGGGGCUAGCGUUGCUCGGAAUCACUGGGCGUAAAGCGCACGUAGGCGGGUCUUUAAGUCAGGGGUGAAAUCCUGGAGCUCAACUCCAGAACUGCCUUUGAUACUGAGGAUCUUGAGUACGGGAGAGGUGAGUGGAACUGCGAGUGUAGAGGUGAAAUGCGCAGAUAUCGGGAGGAACACCAAUGGCGAAGGCAGCUCGCUGGGACGGUACUGACGCUGAGACGCGAAAGCGUGGGGAGCAAACAGG
Molecule: ribosomal RNA, 253 nt
Filed under: uncultured bacterium
Lineage: Bacteria
Description: partial 16S ribosomal RNA
Rfam family: Bacterial small subunit ribosomal RNA
Source: RNAcentral